Molecule: ribosomal RNA, 254 nt
Filed under: uncultured bacterium
Lineage: Bacteria
Description: partial 16S ribosomal RNA
Rfam family: Bacterial small subunit ribosomal RNA
Source: RNAcentral
UACGAAGGGGGCUAGCGUUGCUCGGAAUUACUGGGCGUAAAGGGCGCGUAGGCGGCACUGUUAGUCAGGCGUGAAAGUCCUGGGCUCAACCUGGGAACUGCGCUUGAUACGGCAGAACUAGAGGAUGGAAGAGGGUCGCGGAAUUCCCAGUGUAGAGGUGAAAUUCGUAGAUAUUGGGAAGGAACACCGGUGGCGAAGGCGGCGACCUGGUCCAUUACUGACGCUGAGGCGCGACAGCGUGGGGAGCAAACAGG